This 203-nucleotide unclassified non-coding RNA is filed under the name Ascomycota sp. RNAcentral describes it as "partial contains small subunit ribosomal RNA, internal transcribed spacer 1, and 5.8S ribosomal RNA". The stretch from base 1 to 47 matches the Rfam family "Eukaryotic small subunit ribosomal RNA", at positions 1785 to 1831 of the family's 1831-position model. Lineage: Eukaryota; Fungi; Ascomycota. The record is from RNAcentral.
AAAGUCGUAACAAGGUCUCCGUUGGUGAACCAGCGGAGGGAUCAUUACCGAGUUUUCAACUCACCAACCCACUGUGAACAUACCUACGUUGCUUCGGCGGCGGGCUUCGGCCCCCGCCGGGGACCCAAACACUAUUUUUAACCGAUACCUCUGAGUAAAAAACAAAUAAAUCAAAACCUUUAACAACGGAUCUCUUGGCUCUG